This 468-nucleotide ribosomal RNA is filed under the name uncultured bacterium. RNAcentral's name for it is "partial 16S ribosomal RNA". It matches the Rfam family "Bacterial small subunit ribosomal RNA", at positions 28 to 507 of the family's 1533-position model. The record is from RNAcentral.
GACGAACGCUGGCGGCGUGCUUAACACAUGCAAGUCGAACGGAAAGGCCCUGCUUUUGUGGGGUGCUCGAGUGGCGAACGGGUGAGUAACACGUGAGUAACCUGCCCUUGACUUUGGGAUAACUUCAGGAAACUGGGGCUAAUACCGGAUAGGAGCUCCUGCUGCAUGGGGGGGGUUGGAAAGUUUCGGCGGUUGGGGAUGGACUCGCGGCUUAUCAGCUUGUUGGUGGGGUAGGGGCUUACCAAGGCUUUGACGGGUAGCCGGCCUGGGAGGGUGACCGGCCACAUUGGGACUGCGGUACGGCGCAGACGCCAACGGGAGGCAGUAGUGGGGAACAUUGCACAAUGGGCGGAAGCCUGAUGCAGCAGCGCCGCGUGCGGGAUGACGGCCUUCGGGUUGUAAACCGCUUUCGCCUGUGACGAAGCGUGAGUGACGGUACUGGGUAAAGAAGCACCGGCUAACUACGUG